CUUUCCUUCAUUUUCUUCUGUAAAUUUGCUAUAAGCUCAAGUUCCAUUUUGUCUUAAACAUCCAUGUUCUAUAUAUCUGUCUGCAAAAGUAUUAAGUGUCUUUUUUCCUGCUGAGUUUUUGUUUCUUGUAGACCACAUGAUUGCUUGGGAAUACCAUAAUGUGGAAGUGUCUCUGUCCUGGGAAGAUUUUAACCGAUAAAAUGAG
Molecule: non-coding RNA, 205 nt
Organism: Pelobates cultripes (western spadefoot toad)
Lineage: Eukaryota; Metazoa; Chordata; Amphibia; Anura; Pelobatidae
Source: the annotation of a GenBank genome assembly